This 73-nucleotide transfer RNA is filed under the name Myotis brandtii (Brandt's bat). It matches the Rfam family "tRNA". From Rfam's summary of the family: Transfer RNA (tRNA) molecules are approximately 80 nucleotides in length. Their secondary structure includes four short double-helical elements and three loops (D, anti-codon, and T loops). Lineage: Eukaryota; Metazoa; Chordata; Mammalia; Chiroptera; Vespertilionidae. The record is from Rfam by way of RNAcentral.
GCCCAUUUGGCUCAGUAGAUAGAGCAUCCGCCUGCAGACCGAAGGGUCAUGGGUUCGAUUCCGGUCAAGGGCA